CCUUGAUGACGUUUCAGGGGCGCGAGCGGAGAAGGCCCCAGACCGGGAGGCGCCGCCAGCAUGAAGGAGACGCCGCUGUCCAACUGUGAGCGGCGCUUCCUGCUGCGCGCCAUCGAGGAGAGGAAGCGCUUGGACGGGCGGCAGAGCUACGACUACAGGAACGUGCGAAUCUCCUUCGGGGCCGACUACGGCUGCUGCAUCGUGGAGCUGGGGAGGACCAGAGUCCUUGGACAGGUUUCAUGUGAACUUGUUUCCCCAAAGCUAAAUCGAGCUACAGAGGGUAUACUUUUCUUUAAUCUUGAGCUCUCCCCAAUGGCCGCACCAGCUUUUGAGCCUGGCAGGCAACCUGAGCUUUUGGUGAAACUGAAUCGACUACUAGAAAGAUGCCUAAGAAACUCAAAAUGUAUAGACACUGAAUCUCUCUGUGUUGUUGCUGGUGUAAAGGUGUGGCAAAUUCGUGUGGACCUGCAUUUGUUGAAUCAUGAUGGAAACAUUAUUGAUGCUGCAAGUAUAGCAGCAAUAGUGGCUUUGUGUCACUUCCGUAGACCAGAUGUAUCUGUGCAAGGAGAGGAAGUAACUUUGUAUACCCCUGAGGAACGUGAUCCUGUCCCUUUGAGUAUCCAUCACAUGCCUAUCUGCGUCAGUUUUGCCUUCUUCCAGCAAGGGACCUAUUUGUUGGUGGAUCCCAGUGAACGAGAGGAACGUGUAAUGGAUGGCCUCCUAGUGAUUGCCAUGAAUAAACAUCGUGAGAUUUGUACUAUCCAGUCCAGUGGAGGGAUUAUGCUGUUAAAAGAUCAGGUUCUGAGAUGCAGUAAAAUAACUGGUGUUAAAGUAGCAGAGAUCACAGAGCUAAUUCAAAAGGCCUUGGAGAAUGACCGGAAAGUUAGGAAAGAAGGUGGAAAGUUUGGCUUUGCAGAGUCUAUACCAAAUCAAAAGAUUUCUGCCUUUAAAAUGGAAAGAGCUCCUGUUGAUACUAAUGAUGUGGAAGAGCAAGCUGAAGAAAUCAUCACGAAGGCUGACCCUCCUUCAGAUGUUAUUGCCAAACCAAUACUACGGAUGCCUGGGACUGCCCAAAUUGGGGAGGGACUAGAGAACUCCUGGGGAGACUUCGAAGAAUCUGAGAGAGAGGAGGAAGAGGAAUGUAACAGUGACGAUGCUACCACCUCAGGAGGUCAGAAAAUGGAAACGGAAGAGAUAAAUAUUGUGAGCAAAACUAAGGGUUAGUAUCUGCUUUAAAUGUAAUGUUAUUGAAAACAACUGUUCAUGUAUUCUGGUGUAUUUGAAGCUGUGUCCUCUCCUAAGCAGUAAGAAAGGGAAAACACAGGUACUUGCCAGCAGGAAUAUGCAGCUGCCAUCUGCAAAAUGACUUUAGAGCUGUUAUGGCUUAAAUCUGCCAAAUUUAAAUAUCCAAUCCCAGAAAGACAUGCUGGGAGUAGAGGGGGGAGUUUUUACAAGAGGGAAACCCUACACUGAGGAAUUAGUAGGGACAAGAAAGUAACAAAAAAAAGGUGCUUUUGGGGAAAGACCUGCUUUGUUUUGUGCCUGUUGCUAUUAUGGCAGUAUCUAAUCAAAACAAAAUACCAGACAAGAUGAGAAUGGUCUUGGUGCUCUGUCCUAUACCUACUGUUGAGAGAUGUCACAGAAGCAGCAGGAUACUAAACCAAAUUCAGCCACUCUUAUAAAAGUGUUCAGUUUAUAACAGCUAAAAUAAAGUAUCAAUUGUUUUAAAGUUAUUGUGCUCGAAGGGUGAUUUUGGCCCUUGAGUAAGUUGCACAAACAUGUCCCACUGCUUUAAAAUGUCUCUAGGUGUGUAGUAAUACUUAGACUCAGGUUCUACAGUAAUAGAAAUAACAGCUCUCUUGUUUGUUCGUAAGAUGAUGACACAAUUAUACUGUCUGACAGUGAAGAGGAGGAAGUUGUCAUUCUGGAACCAGAGGAGACACACAAGAAAACACGGUGAUUGAGCUUCACCAAGCAAUUCUUGCAAUCAGUCUCCAUUUCUGGACUGAGACUACAUCUUGAGUUGCAAGUCAGGACACCACAUCUGUUGUGGUUAUUAGCUCAUCUAUAUGAAUAGACAGUGGCCAAAUCAGUGACAGGAGUCACUGGCUCAAAAGAGCAAGUUAAAAAAAAAAAAAGA
RNA transcript from Gopherus flavomarginatus (Mexican gopher tortoise), 2140 nucleotides. It is a transcript of the gene named exosome component 9, with no coding region annotated. The transcript has 11 exons. The record is from RefSeq and is a predicted model, not a curated record. Lineage: Eukaryota; Metazoa; Chordata; Testudines; Testudinidae.